RNAcentral lists this ribosomal RNA (465 nucleotides) under uncultured bacterium. RNAcentral's name for it is "partial 16S ribosomal RNA". It matches the Rfam family "Bacterial small subunit ribosomal RNA", at positions 28 to 507 of the family's 1533-position model. The record is from RNAcentral.
GACGAACGCUGGCGGCGUGCUUAACACAUGCAAGUCGAACGGAAAGGCCCUGCUUGCCGGGUACUCGAGUGGCGAACGGGUGAGUAACACGUGGGUGAUCUGCCCUGCACUUCGGGAUAAGCCUGGGAAACUGGGUCUAAUACCGGAUAGGAGCCAUUUUUAGUGUGAUGGUUGGAAAGUUUUUUCGGUGUAGGAUGAGCUCGCGGCCUAUCAGCUUGUUGGUGGGGUAAUGGCCUACCAAGGCGGCGACGGGUAGCCGGCCUGAGAGGGUGGACGGCCACAUUGGGACUGAGAUACGGCCCAGACUCCUACGGGAGGCAGCAGUGGGGAAGAUUGCACAAUGGGCGCAAGCCUGAUGCAGCGACGCCGCGUGGGGGAUGACGGCCUUCGGGUUGUAAACUCCUUUCGCUAGGGACGAAGCUUUUUGUGACGGUACCUAGAGAAGAAGCACCGGCUAACUACGUG